AGAGUUUGAUCAUGGCUCAGGAUGAACGCUAGCUACAGGCUUAACACAUGCAAGUCGAGGGGCAUCAGUUUGGUUUGCUUGCAAACCAAAGCUGGCGACCGGCGCACGGGUGAGUAACACGUAUCCAACCUGCCUCAUACUCGGGGAUAGCCUUUCGAAAGAAAGAUUAAUAUCCGAUAGCAUAUAUUUCCCGCAUGGGUUUUAUAUUAAAGAAAUUCGGUAUGAGAUGGGGAUGCGUUCCAUUAGUUUGUUGGCGGGGUAACGGCCCACCAAGGCGACGAUCAGUAGGGGUUCUGAGAGGAAGGCCCCCCAUAUUGGAACUGAGACACGGUCCAAACUCCUACGGGAGGCAGCA
RNAcentral lists this ribosomal RNA (355 nucleotides) under uncultured bacterium. RNAcentral describes it as "bacterial SSU rRNA". It matches the Rfam family "Bacterial small subunit ribosomal RNA", at positions 8 to 353 of the family's 1533-position model. The record is from RNAcentral.